Molecule: ribosomal RNA, 497 nt
Filed under: uncultured bacterium
Lineage: Bacteria
Description: partial 16S ribosomal RNA
Rfam family: Bacterial small subunit ribosomal RNA
Source: RNAcentral
GAUGAACGCUGGCGGCGUGCCUAAUACAUGCAAGUCGAGCGAACAGACGAGGAGCUUGCUCCUCUGACGUUAGCGGCGGACGGGUGAGUAACACGUGGAUAACCUACCUAUAAGGCUGGGAUAACUUCGGGAAACCGGAGCUAAUACCGGAUAAUAUAUUGAACCGCAUGGUUCAAUAGUGAAAGACGGUUUUGCUGUCACUUAUAGAUGGAUCCGCGCCGCAUUAGCUAGUUGGUAAGGUGACGGCUUACCAAGGCAACGAUGCGUAGCCGACCUGAGAGGGUGAUCGGCCACACUGGAACUGAGACACGGUCCAGACUCCUACGGGAGGCAGCAGUAGGGAAUCUUCCGCAAUGGGCGAAAGCCUGACGGAGCAACGCCGCGUGAGUGAUGAAGGUCUUCGGAUCGUAAAACUCUGUUAUUAGGGAAGAACAAAUGUGUAAGUAACUAUGCACGUCUUGACGGUACCUAAUCAGAAAGCCACGGCUAACUACGUG